Wasmannia auropunctata (little fire ant) is the source of this 1069-nucleotide long non-coding RNA. RefSeq lists it as uncharacterized. Lineage: Eukaryota; Metazoa; Arthropoda; Insecta; Hymenoptera; Formicidae. The transcript has 2 exons. The record is from RefSeq and is a predicted model, not a curated record.
AAAGGAAACGUCACGGGUUGAAUGUCUUAUUUCAUCGUAAAUAUAAAAAACUAGUAAAUUAAUAAAAUUAAUUAAAAUUAUGAUUAAAUUAAUGUAAAAAUUAUUGUAUAGUUAUGAUUAGUAGUAAGAUUAUCAGGAAGAAAAAGAUGUUACAAUAUAUACGGUGUGAACGAGUAAAUUAACAAAUGAACGAAUCUCGCAGUAAUUGGGCGAAGAGUGUAUCCAAGAGGGCUAUUGUCAGCCGCGUCUAACGUCAGAAGCAAUUUAGAAGGAAAAUGAGAGGGCGCGCACAAAAACCGACGGACCUCUUUACCUCGUCAAGAACACGAAAAAUAGAGAGGGAGAAAGAAAGGACGCGGUGAUCGAGGCGGAAAGGGGCGCACUACUGGAAUUGCAACUGCCGCGCGACCCUUCCGAUGAUCGAGUAUCCGGCGACCUGACCGUCCCUCUCCGGCGUGGUCUCUCUUUCUCUCUUUUUCUCUCGUUCCUCUCUCUCUCUUUUUCAUUCGCAGACGGCGCAGAACGAGCUCAUCUCAUGCCGGACACGAAACUCGCCGAGUCGUGUAAUGGCGGACACGCGAGGUGCGAGAACAAUGCGCGGAUUUUUGGCAGCGAGAGAAAUUACGAGGCGCGACCUCGCCACGUUCUCGCCUCGGCCAACCCUUAGGGUCAUCCAUCCGGACCGGAUCAUCAUUCGGCACAUGUCUAACGCGCGCGUUACGUGCCGAUGUCGCAGGAUAGCGAACGCAAAUGGAAACGGAGGGGAUCAUACAUACGCCUUCGCUUAUGUCACGUAGCCCGAUAAACUGGAGAGUACGCUACGAAGUAAUUUAACCUCCGACUACUAUGCGGUCGCAAUUUGAAAGAGACGUAACUACUUCCUCAUGAGGUCAGUUUGACGUCGAUCGUAAAUGGCGUCACGUUUCACAUACGGCGGAACGUACGAUCGUCACGGAAGAUAAUAAAAUGUUGAAAAAAUAAUGAAAGUACGAUCGCACGGAAGAUUAUGAAAUGCUGUAAAAAUAACGACGACGUAUACAUAUAUAUAACGCAUUUUGCUUUAGUAUAA